UAUUGUUACAUUAAUUUAUAACUACGUCGGCUUUUUCUUUACCCUUUUUUUAAUAACCUCGAGAUAACGCAGCAAAAUAUCAAUAUCUAAAACAGGUAGGAGACGAUUUCCGCGACGUUGAACGAAAGGGGGACCGCCUCGUCCGCAAAUACCGAUAGCCUAUUAAAUUUAAGCGUCCCCGGUCGUGGAAGGAAACGGGCCGGUAGGAACGCGAAAUCUGUCGGCGUGAAUAUAAAUAUGUCGAGGAGGAAGUGUGUGCUAUAAUAAUAGAAGCGGCGAGGUAUGCGUCGCGCGGGAGAGGAAUCGCGACAAGAGGCAGCCGGUUAUUGCGGCGAACGCGGUAGAAAACACGAGACGACUCGCGUCGCGAGUGUGUCGUGCGCUCUGGUAAAACGGAAAAGUGUCCCCAAUAGCCCGGGAAGUAACGCCGAAGGACGAUUGGUUGCCGGGUUAUUUAUCGUAAUGGAAUAAUGCGGUCGUAGGUGCGUGUGACGGUGUGCGGCUGUAUCGUCGCAGCCACCCAUUCCGAUAAAAGGCCACCCAUCAUCGUGUCGCAAUAACGAUAGGAUGUCGUCUCCGUUGCUGGGACUCGGAUCAAUGGACAGAUGCGAAUAAAGUAAAAAUAAAAUAGACGAGGAGGAUUUUUCUCUUUUUUUUUUUCAAGGAUUAACGAGGAACGCGAAGAGAUGGAAGGGGAGAGGUAGGUUGUAGGAAGAUCUCGCUCUCGUUGUUAAAUGAAAUAUGUACGAUAAAAGGAGCGAAAUGAGGAGAGGGAAAGGAAUGGGUUAACAAUGUAAGGUAACGUUGUAAGGUAUUAUGGGGAACUACAAUUGUGCAAUAUAAUAGAAGCGUAUAAUGAACGAUGAAUUAAGUCAGAAGAGAAUUAAGUCACUCGAGUUCUCUCGUUGCCUUUGAACAAUCAGCGCUACGUGAUAACGUACGUGGUACAGAAAAUGUGCGUUCGUUAGAAAAUUCAGCGCUAUUUCCAUCACACACGUCUUUGUCGGCGUAUCGCGCGCGACAAUUCACGUAUCUCAAGAGCCGUUAUUGCGCUGCGCUCAAUUUUGAGUUCGAAGUUUCACCCACUUUCGUUGUAAUUAUUAUCGGCCGCCCGGUAAACCACUGAGUGUGUGUGUCCUGAGUGCGUCCCGUCGGUCGGCCGAAGAUGACUCGAUACGAGGCGAGAAUAAAACAAGCCCCGUGAAUUCUGUGUGGGGUCGGCCGAGCGGUGAGAGGGAUGGUGGAGUAGGAAGGAGAAGAAGGAAGGAGGAGACUAUCGUCGUCUCUUGUCCCGGAUCCGACUCGUAAUAAUAGUUAUUUCGACGGUGAGGAAUGCCAGAAAGUACGCGCGCGAGCGCGCCGUAUGCGUGAAACACGAGAAGAGAAGAGAAGAGAGGAAAGAGAGGAGAGACGAGAGACGAGGGAAAAGCAACAAAGAUAAAGAGAAGAGAGAGGGAGAGGGACGAGAUCGACAGCGUAACGCAUUAGGCUUUCGGAGGCUUCGAAAGGACAGAGCAACUUCGACGUAAUAUACCAUAUAACAGUAUAACGUCGUAAAAUUGCAUAAUGCAUUACUCAUGCAAAUCCGUUUAAUGGGUAAUGAAUUUUAUUCUCUAUUAAGAAGCGCCUCUUACCCCUUGCGGCGCGGCUAAAAAGGAAGAUAAUACGUACGACGUUGACGCGCGCGUGUAAGAUAAAUUGUAGCACGUGCAUGCACAUGCUUCCGUAUUUUCACUCCUAUAUAUACCCCGAAGGUAACGAUAAUGUUGGAUAAAUGUUUUAGUGGUAAAAGGGUUAACCCGCGAUUAUCAUGUACAGCAUGAGUUAUUAGCGGACGAGUUGUUCCAUCCCCUCGAUUAACAAUUCAACGAGUAAAACGCGCGCAGAAGUCGAAUAAAGUCGCCGCACAUUCGAAGGGAAUAAAUCGAAGAAUUUCCUACUUUUGUCGUUUCCUCCGUAAAGAUAUCGGAAUGAGCGUGCCGGAUUUAAAAGCGUUCCGCCCGUUCUCUUUGUAAACUCGGAAAAUGUUUCAGCGCGGCGGAGAGAAAUUUCGCGGGCGAUAAAGGCGCCGAGGAGUUCUCGCGAGAUUUUGCGACGCGAUCCUCAAAGCGACCCGAGCCGUUGUGCAACUUCUUUCAAUCCCUCCCCUCGUCGGGAAUAAUAUUCCACUUCCGCGAUAUUCCACGACGUACUGAAACCAGUCACGGAAGUCUUCUUUCUUUAAAAUAUUUCUCCUCGCUAAUGGAAGCGUCCGCAUUUUACUUAUUUGUCGGAAACACAAUAUUGGCUCUUAAGAUUCGCCAAUAUACCAUCUUGUGGAGGUUCGAAGAGGCACAAGUAUAUCUGACAAGCACAUAAUUCUUAAAUAAGUUACGUUAUCAUAAGAUAAUAUGUUAAAUGACGUCUCGCGAUUUUCUUCUGGAAUUUCGCAAUUUCGGGAUUUUCCCUAUUUUUGCUAUAACGUUGUAUUGUGUUAUAUUUUUACAAAUUCUUCGUAUUUGAACCUCAUCGGUGCAUUGUAACUUUUCAUUAUAUUUCUCUACAUCGAGAUUAAUGACAAGUCUGCCUAAUUUUUACAUACUUUCUUUAAUCAACUUUUCUUAGUUACAACUUUUAACCUCCUACCUUACGACAUUAAAAUUUUCUCCAAGGUCUUUCCGACUGACGAAUCGAAAAUUGAGAGAAAAGAAAGCGAGAAUAACUGAGAAGAAAAAUAGAACGAGAAAACUGAGAGGAAGAGCAUAUCGUUUCCGUUAAAGCAACGUCGACGAAAUCUCACCAAUUUUCGGUUUUUUCUCACGUCCUUUACACAACUUAUCUUUUUUCCUUAACCUUAAGAACGGAUCUUUGGUAAGAGGUCGGAACGACGGGUUCGUGUGAUAAAGAGAGUAGUCGGAUAUCAUUCAUUGUCCGGCAUCUUCUUGCCUGGUUUUUCGGUCGGAAGAAGAAAAGAAAUGGGUCCGGAAAGUUCCGACCGGAAAGAGGUACGGAACGGAAGAUGAAAGAGGAACGAAGGUCAUAUAAUUUAUGGACACGCAAUAGGCCUCAUACAAUGGCGUGAAAUAAAUGAUGGGAAUCCUCGGGUCGAUAAGGAUAUGCUUUCGAAGACAGUUAACAUGCCUUACGAAAGGAAUGUAAAAAAAUUCCAGAAUUUAAAGGACCAUGACAAAAGUUAACCCCAAAUUCACCGACAGAUCACCAUCGCAGGUGGACGAUAAAAGGACGUAAAAGUAAUUGGAGAAACAGGAUACGUACAGACGCAUGAAGAUAGACGAGGAAGAGAGCCGAGAUAGGAAGCAGAGCGGGACGACGGAGGGGAAUGGAGAACAAAAAACGCGAAGGGGGAACAGGGGAACACGCGGAAAAGAGGAAGAGAGAAAGAGAAGAAGAGGACGAAGCCCGGAGCGAUCGCGCGAGACCGGAGAUCCACCGCUCGCUGCCUCCCGAGAAGAGAAAAAGAGAAGGAGAGGUCCAAGGUCCGUGCUUCCGGUCCGGAUACCGACCGGUUCUCCCGUUCUCGCGAUACAGACGAGGUGGAGGAGGACGAGGAGGAGGACGACGACAAGGAAGAGGAGGAGGUGGAGGGAAGAGAGAUAAAAGGAUCUAUCUUCCCGCCCAGCGAAUAUCCGCGUCGAGCAAAAUCUCCGAGCACGGGCAAACAGAUUUAAUGGCACUCAUACACCUUACUAAUCUUUUAUAAAAAGCACUAUUUCAUCAUUUUUUCGGCGUAAAAGCACCUCCGAGGGAAGGCGUGCGCGCACUUAAAGGUACUUUUCGUCGUAAAAAGUGAGCGAGCUAAAUGAAUAUUUAAGGAAUGUGAAAAUCGCGACUUCUUCCUAAAGCAACUUUCUUAAAAUACAACAUUGUGAAGCGUCCGAACGAAAACACAAUGAACCUCUCAUUCCCCUGUUAGGAUUAUAGUAUAUAAUGCGUAUAGACAAAGUUAAUCUAAAUUUGGAUAUUGCACGUAUUUUUGAUGCGCGAGUGUAAAUAUGUUUGUUUUUUGAAUUGAAGUAUAAAUAAAUAUACAGAGAUUGCGCUUCCGAAGAGAUUAAAAUACGAAUUACGAAAGUGCAAGAAAUGAAGGUUCACAGAAGCAAGAUAAAUCAAUGAUAGCGGGAUCUCGGCACGAUUUAUAAUCGAUGCAUCCAUGCGAUACGGUUGACGGGAAUUAGCCGGCCGGAUGCAACGGACGAAACUUAAUUAAAACGGGUUAAAGAUCGCGUUCCGCUCGUGUAAUAAAGAUGUAACAGUAGCUGUAAAGCGCGCGGAAAUCGUAUCGUUGCUCGUGUGACCAAAUGUAUCACACACGCCGUUGCUGCUAUGUGACGAUAAAUGCAAUUCCCAUUUACGACUCGCGUAUAUUGUGUAACGCGUGCGACGUGACACAGUACGCUGCAUUCCGCGGACGGCCGCUCGCCACUCUCGACCAUUUAAAUAUUAUAUAUUCGGUACUUUAAUAUUUUAAAUUUAUCUAGACAGACAUUUCAUAUGCU
Dinoponera quadriceps is the source of this 4496-nucleotide long non-coding RNA. RefSeq lists it as uncharacterized. The transcript has 3 exons. NCBI's taxonomy places the organism in Eukaryota, Metazoa, Arthropoda, Insecta, Hymenoptera, Formicidae. The record is from RefSeq and is a predicted model, not a curated record.